UUUCAUGCUGAAUUGAUUAUUUGUGAAAGAAGGAAUUAUUCUUUAAUUGAAUAAUCUUUGGUUAUUAAUUGAAAAAAAGAACUGGGCUUCGGUUGAUAAUGCCAAAAGGAUCUGAGUGGGCUACAGAAAAUGGUGGAAUUUAUAAAAAGGAAAUUAUUAUGUUUUGGCUAGGGCCAAUCGAGUACCCACUCAUGGCAUUUUAUCGGGAAUGAUAAAACUGGUUAUUUGAUUAUUUGCUUGGAAUGAUAUGAUCUACCGGCUCGAUGACUCUACGGAGCAUCUGGAGACA
Molecule: long non-coding RNA, 289 nt
Filed under: Eucalyptus grandis
Lineage: Eukaryota; Viridiplantae; Streptophyta; Magnoliopsida; Myrtales; Myrtaceae
Description: long non-coding RNA (EGRA_LNC001867)
Source: RNAcentral